UGGCUUAAAGAAAAGCCUCCCCUCAAAUAAUGAAGUAGCAAAUGUGUGGAGAGCCAUUGGAUUUUGCAGGCUUAGCAUUUUACAAAAGCCAUUGGAGAAUCCCAAUGCUCCCCCCCCACCCACACACACACACACAAAAAAAAAAACCACCAUUACAUAGUCGCAUAAGAGUACUUCGCUCUUUUCACUCCAUCUCCACCCC
RNAcentral lists this long non-coding RNA (202 nucleotides) under Nicotiana benthamiana. RNAcentral describes it as "long non-coding RNA (NBEN_LNC034354)". The record is from RNAcentral. Lineage: Eukaryota; Viridiplantae; Streptophyta; Magnoliopsida; Solanales; Solanaceae.